GAUGAACGCUGGCGGCGUGCUUAACACAUGCAAGUCGAACGAUGAAGCCCAGCUUGCUGGGUGGAUUAGUGGCGAACGGGUGAGUAACACGUGAGUAACCUGCCCUUAACUCUGGGAUAAGCCUGGGAAACUGGGUCUAAUACCGGAUAGGAGCGCCUACCGCAUGGUGGGUGUUGGAAAGAUUUAUCGGUUUUGGAUGGACUCGCGGCCUAUCAGCUUGUUGGUGAGGUAAUGGCUCACCAAGGCGACGACGGGUAGCCGGCCUGAGAGGGUGACCGGCCACACUGGGACUGAGACACGGCCCAGACUCCUACGGGAGGCAGCAGUGGGGAAUAUUGCACAAUGGGCGAAAGCCUGAUGCAGCGACGCCGCGUGAGGGAUGACGGCCUUCGGGUUGUAAACCUCUUUCAGUAGGGAAGAAGCGAAAGUGACGGUACCUGCAGAAGAAGCGCCGGCUAACUACGUG
This 466-nucleotide ribosomal RNA is filed under the name uncultured bacterium. RNAcentral describes it as "partial 16S ribosomal RNA". It matches the Rfam family "Bacterial small subunit ribosomal RNA", at positions 28 to 507 of the family's 1533-position model. The record is from RNAcentral.